This 73-nucleotide transfer RNA is filed under the name Acidimicrobiia bacterium. RNAcentral describes it as "tRNA-Arg". It matches the Rfam family "tRNA". Rfam says of the family: Transfer RNA (tRNA) molecules are approximately 80 nucleotides in length. Their secondary structure includes four short double-helical elements and three loops (D, anti-codon, and T loops). The record is from RNAcentral. Lineage: Bacteria; Bacillati; Actinomycetota; Acidimicrobiia.
GCCCCCGUAGCUCAGUGGACAGAGCAGGAGCCUUCUAAGCUCUUGGUCGAAGGUUCGAAUCCUUCCGGGGGCG